Molecule: long non-coding RNA, 391 nt
Organism: Clarias gariepinus (North African catfish)
Lineage: Eukaryota; Metazoa; Chordata; Actinopteri; Siluriformes; Clariidae
Exons: 3
Source: RefSeq, a predicted model, not a curated record
GCAUCCGGAGACUGGGGUUUGUGCAUUGGGUGGAAAUUGAAUCCGGUCCUUCCACAUGGCAGACGAGGAACCUUCUACAGAAUCACCAAUGCCUCUGUCUAGAAAUAAAAGAUUUUUUCGUUAUCAAGGUGGAUCAUAUAGACAAACCACCUGUUAUAUUUAUAAACUGUAAUGGAACAAUCAGUUGAACAAAGAGUUCUUGCUGGGACUGACACAGCUCCAGAAGUUACUGAGCUUCACUACCUGAAACAGGAAAAAACCUGUGAAACUAUCAAUGAUGUCAUCAACUCUUUACAGAUCUAGGCUCCAUACAAGAAUGACCAGAAGGAGCCUGUGUAGUCCAACUAAGUACCGUGGACGCCUCUGGUAAUUACCCUUGUAUUUAUUCCCA